GUUCUCUAUUUUGACAUUUAUAUGCGAAACAAUAGUAAAAUUUAUCUUCGAUUGGCAUGUUUAUUUAAAAAAAAACAUACACAUUCUGAAUAAAUGAAUAAGAUAUAUUAUGCAGAGCAAAAAAGUAGUGGUCAAACCCUCAAAACUUCUACAAUUUACUUAUGUAUGAACUUGUUGCAUGUGAAAACGUUAGAAGGCCUCCAAGUAAUAAACAAUGGUUUUAAUAGCAAUCUAGUGUUGCAAGGCUGUUCUAAUUUGACAGUUUUUUUAGGUCCGAUACGGAAAUAUUUCGUUUACUGUCAUAUUUAUUACUAUCAUUAUCAUGUUAAUAUAUGUUUGUUCGUAACCUCAAAUUGAGAUCACCAAAAUGAAUGCACUGCACUAAAGUGAAGAGUUGUAGGAGAAUUAACCGCAAUUCCGAAGUUACACAGUAUAUACGGUCUGUCAUCAAGUAACUGUAAAUACACGUUAAAAAAAUCAAAACGUCAUUGUCCUGCCUUAGAGGUCGGAAUCAUUUCAGGAUAAGAACUUUGAAUUUUUCGAUUUUCCUAUCCCAGGCAUAGACUACCACAGCCGUUUUUGGCACACAUUUUUUGAAUUUUGAAUCCUCAGUGCUCUUAAAAUUUGUACUUGUUUGGCUUUAUAACUAUUUUGGUAUGAGCGUCACUGAUGAGUCUUUAUGUAGACGAAACGCGCGUCUGGCGUACUAAAUACGAAUCCUGGUACCUUUGAUAACUAUAUCUCUGGCGAUAAACAUGGCAAUAAAUAAUACAGAAACUUUUCAAUUGACAGCAACUGCAUUCUUCCUAUCAUCUCUGUUUUUGUUGCUCAACCAAUUUGUAAAUAUAACGGAACUUUAACAACUGUCGUACAAAUUGAAAGAUUACAUAGGUAUACAACCAGUUUUUACCCACCAUAAUCCGUCUUAGAUUAACUUGAUCACUUGCCUUUGCGAAGCACACAGAAAUGAAAAAGGAAAAUAAAUACUUUUUUACAAAGCCAUUUUCGAAUAAAUUUAAUUUAUGUAUUACAUGUUUAAAUACUAACGGCGACAAGCUUCGUGUGUGUUUUUCAUCUUUUUUUAAGUUAUCAUAUUAACACCUAGUAAAAAAUUCAUGUCAUUUCUUAUUAUCAAAAAAAAACCAGCAAACAUUUUAUCUGAUUUGUCGGAAUUACAAUAAGAUUUUUAGAUUUGACAGUACAAUUUUUUUCUCAAAUUUCAUCUCUAUUGCCAAAAACAGAAUUUCAUUUAAAUAUAUGAGAAAGAUGGCGCGUGCCAUCUUAACUUUGUAUAGAUAUAUGUAUUCAAUAUUCAUAUAUAUAGCUGUUCAAAGUUAAUUAUUGUAUUGGUGCAUGACAUGCAAUUUCUAUAUUGAAUGUCAUUUAGGUGCAUAGGAUACAUAGCAUUUAUUUUUUAAUAACAAGACAGAGGUAAAUAACACGGGGAAAAAUUGUAAUUGUUGCAAUUAAAAGAUAAACAUUAAAGUAAGCUACAUGAUAUUUUGAUUGCUUAUUGACGUAACCAUUUAGAGGGUUUUAGUCCUAAACUAUUGUUCUUUAACUGAAAAACGACAUUCUUUAUAACUAUAUUAAAAUGAUUUUUAUUUAAGAAUUCCGCGCUUCAUACAAAAUGUACUUCGGUCAACGCUUUUACAACCCUAUGAAGUUACAAAAAGAAGCAUUCAAUACUUAUAAUUACAUUUUUUUAGCAAUGAUCAUGAAACACGAAUUUUAUUAUUGUUUUAUUUAAUUCACCCGUGCACUUAUUGUGGCACCACGUGUUAUCAUGAAUGCAAAGUUUUAUUGAGCAAUGCAAUUGCUUACGGAAUAACACGUGAUGUGCAGUUAGCCA
Molecule: long non-coding RNA, 1852 nt
Filed under: Mytilus galloprovincialis (Mediterranean mussel)
Lineage: Eukaryota; Metazoa; Mollusca; Bivalvia; Mytilida; Mytilidae
Source: RNAcentral